CGGAGGGUGCGAGCGUUAAUCGGAAUUACUGGGCGUAAAGCGCGCGUAGGCGGUUUGUUAAGUCAGCUGUGAAAGCCCUGGGCUUAACCUGGGAACGGCAGUUGAUACUGGCAGGCUAGAGUGUGGUAGAGGGGUGUGGAAUUUCCGGUGUAGCAGUGAAAUGCGUAGAGAUCGGAAGGAACACCAGUGGCGAAGGCGGCACCCUGGACCAACACUGACGCUGAGGUGCGAAAGCGUGGGGAGCAAACAGGA
RNAcentral lists this ribosomal RNA (252 nucleotides) under uncultured Methylocaldum sp. RNAcentral describes it as "partial 16S ribosomal RNA". It matches the Rfam family "Bacterial small subunit ribosomal RNA", at positions 526 to 777 of the family's 1533-position model. Lineage: Bacteria; Pseudomonadati; Pseudomonadota; Gammaproteobacteria; Methylococcales; Methylococcaceae. The record is from RNAcentral.